AAAUUCCAAAAUCCCUAUGUGCCUUCUAAAAUCCCUAACCCCGUCUGUCUGUCUCCAUCGAUCCACCUUCAGUUCUCCAACAGAAUCGUAAUUAAGGUAAACCUGAAACUGUUUGUUUAUUCUUUAAAUGAUACCUGAAUGAAAGUAGUGUAGGAUCUUAUGAUAAUAUCAGAGAACUGAUCGGGUGUAUAGAUUCUGUUAAUCGUAGUAGUUCUGAAUAUAAUCACUGCUUCCUGCACUCAAAAGAUGUUUUUCUCAUUUUCUUCCUGCUUCCUGCUUCCUGCAUCCUAAAAUUAUAUAUAAUCACUAUUUCAACUAGAUUCUUCUCAAUUUCUUCAAUGGAAUCAAAACCCAAAUCUUCAAAAAUAAACAGCGAACGCGACAAAACAAGUAAGAACCUUGGAUCAGGUAGCUUAAUAACGAAAAGGGUGUCUGGAUUUAACGAAAUCCUUGAACUCUGCAAUUGAUUGUAGUUAUGGAGUUUUGGUCAAGAGUCGAGACCGACCACCUUCCAUCUCCAUUUCAAAUGGUCGGAUCUGUAGCUAAAAGAGCUUAAUUUUCGCCUGGUUUGGCUAAAGGGUACCUUUUGAUUGCUGGGAAAAAGAACCCUUACCCUUCGCACAAAUUUGUGGAAAACAAAUGAUAAAAACAGAGACAAAAGCUGAACACAGCUAAGAAAAAAAAGAUGCUUUAUAGGAUGAAGGGGGAGCGUGAUGAAAGAGUGGGUUCUUUUUUGGUCAGCUUUAAAAUAGGGGAGAGUUAAAAUUAUAAGCAAAGGAAGAGGGUAUAAAUAUGGGGUUUGAUGAGCUGUGGGUUGUGUACCGAUGUGUAAUUUUAAAAAUGGGCCAGGCCCGGGCUCCAUUUUUUUCCCGGGCCAGGCCUGGACAAAAUCCCAAGCCCAUAUUUUGGGUCGGCCGCCCGGGCCUAGAAAGCGGCCUGAUUUUUUUUGGCCCGGCCCGAACCCCACCCGGCCCGGCCCAUGGAUAGCUCUCUACAUGUGCCAAUUGUAAGCCAAGGAAUCCAAGCAAUCCAACGUCAUGUGUUAAAAGUUGGAUUGAAUUGCAUUUUGUUUCCUUCAUUUAAAAAUAAAUAAAUUAAUCUCUAUAACUUAGACUAAAGAGUAAAUUAGACCUGUCCAUGGGCCGGGCGGCCCGGCCCGACCCGAUGGGUCGCCCGAAAUAUGGGAUUGGGUAAAAAUUUAGGCCCGUUUAAAAAAUGGGCCGGGCCUCGGGCAAUAUUUUUUAGCCCGGGCUCGGCCCGGCCCGGCCCAAAAAAUAUUAAAUAUAUAUAUUUUUUAUUUUUAAAAUAUAAUAGUUUUUUAUUUUAAGUUUAUUUACUUUCAUUUCCUUGACUAGUGUUACAAAAUAAUAAUAAUAAAAUAUCAAGUUUGUUUUACUAAUCAAAUGUUAGAUUUUGUUACAACAAUUAAUACAAUUAAUAAUUUGAUAAAUUUACUAAUCAAAUGUUAGAUUUUAUUACAACAAUUAAUACAAUUAAUAAUUUGAUAAAUUUACUAAUCAAAUGUUAGAUUUUAUUACAACAAUUAAUACAAUUAACAAUUAAUAAUUUGAUAAUUUUACUAACAAUUAAUUUUAAUAACAAUUAGUUUUAAUUUUAUUAAAAAAAUAUUUUUAAUUUUAAUUAAAAACGGGCCGGGCCGGGCCAAGCUCGGGCCCCAUAUUUUUUCUCCGGGCUGGGCCUGGGCAAAAUCUUAGGCCCAUAUUUCGGGCCGGGCCCGGGCCUAGUAAACGGGCUGAAAUUUUUUGUGGGCCCGGCCCGGCCCAUGGAUAGGUCUAGAGUAAAUUGAUCAUUCUAUUAAAAAUUAUAUAUAUUUCUACUAUUAAAAACAGGCCCAUGUAAUUAGCAUGAGGUAUACGUGGCACAUCAUGUAUCACUUUUAAUUAUUUCAUUAACCACACCGAUUUUUUAACAAUGUAAAUGAAUGAAAUUUUUAACAAAAAUAACCAAUUUACUUUUUGAUUUAAUGUAUAAAGACUGAUUUUUUUCUAUUUUUGAGUGAAAGAAUUAAAGUACAAUUUAAUUUUUAAUAUAAAUAUCUUUAUAAUACUUUUACCGAUACUUGAUGCAUGAACUUUGGGUUAUUUGUUGAAGCUCAUUUUAUAAAUAAACCCCCAAAAUUAUAGACUUGAAGAUGUCCAUUUGCAUGGCUGAUUUUGCAGGGACUAAUGUGACACGGUGUCAUUAAUGAAAUCAACAUUUAAUUUUAGUUGAGACUUUUUAUCUUUGAAAAAUAAAAAAGUUAAAAGAAUUAUUGUUAUUAUUUUUUUAAAAUCCAAAAAUGAUUAUUAGGUAUGACAAAGGAGGAAAGAAAAUGGAAAAAGUUUUGAGUCCCGGCAAUAAUGAAUUUUCAUGAAUUUUCUUCAUAAAAUUGUCCAAUAAUUUGAAAGUAAAGAACCAUGACUAAUAUCUGGGGAGAACCACAGUGAGGGCAACAGCAACUGCAAAUAGGAAAAGCAACAAUCCUAUAAAGUUGACAAUGAGAGCUUCUUGGGAGCGAGUUAGGAAUAACGAAAGGAACUUUUGAAGCAACCCCAUCU
Molecule: long non-coding RNA, 2558 nt
Filed under: Gossypium barbadense (sea-island cotton)
Lineage: Eukaryota; Viridiplantae; Streptophyta; Magnoliopsida; Malvales; Malvaceae
Description: long non-coding RNA (GBAR_LNC014333)
Source: RNAcentral